UACGUAGGGGGCAAGCGUUGUCCGGAUUCAUUGGGCGUAAAGAGCGUGUAGGCGGCCAGGUAGGUCGGUUGUGAAAACUGGAGGCUCAACCUUCAGAGGUCGACCGAAACCAUCUGGCUAGAGUCCGGGAGAGGAGAGUGGAAUUCCUGGUGUAGCGGUGAAAUGCGCAGAUAUCAGGAAGAACACCCGUGGCGAAAGCGGCUCUCUGGAACGGUACUGGACGCUGAAGACGCGAAAGCGUGGGGAGCGAACAGG
This 255-nucleotide ribosomal RNA is filed under the name uncultured bacterium. RNAcentral's name for it is "partial 16S ribosomal RNA". It matches the Rfam family "Bacterial small subunit ribosomal RNA", at positions 524 to 776 of the family's 1533-position model. The record is from RNAcentral.